AUCCCAUGAUGAGGACGUUUGAGUAUGUAGUCUUAAAAGCGCUCCAAAGCUUCUAGGAUUGUCUCAUCAUGUUGUUGCUGGAAACUUAAUAUCUUUCCACAAAGAGC
Molecule: small nucleolar RNA, 107 nt
Filed under: Sorghum bicolor (sorghum)
Lineage: Eukaryota; Viridiplantae; Streptophyta; Magnoliopsida; Poales; Poaceae
Description: Plant small nucleolar RNA R71
Rfam family: Plant small nucleolar RNA R71
About the family: R71 is a member of the C/D box family of snoRNAs containing the C (UGAUGA) and D (CUGA) box motifs. Multiple nearly identical copies of this snoRNA have been identified in Arabidopsis, and it is thought to function as a 2'-O-ribose methylation guide for 18S ribosomal RNA.
Source: Rfam by way of RNAcentral